RNAcentral lists this ribosomal RNA (460 nucleotides) under uncultured bacterium. RNAcentral describes it as "partial 16S ribosomal RNA". It matches the Rfam family "Bacterial small subunit ribosomal RNA", at positions 338 to 795 of the family's 1533-position model. The record is from RNAcentral.
CCUACGGGUGGCAGCAGUGAGGAAUAUUGGUCAAUGGGCGCAAGCCUGAACCAGCCAAGUCGCGUGAAGGAAGAAGGACCUACGGGUUGUAAACUUCUUUUAUAAGGGAAUAAAGGGAGUCACGUGUGCAUAUUUGUAUGUACGUUAUGAAUAAGGAUCGGCUAACUCCGUGCCAGCAGCCGCGGUAAUACGGAGGAUGCGAGCGUUAUUCGGAUUUAUUGGGUUUAAAGGGAGCGUAGGUGGUUUUUUAAGUCAGCGGUGAAAGUUUGUGGCUCAACCUUAAAAUUGCAAUUGAUACUGGCAGCCUUGAGUGUAGUUGAGGUAGGCGGAAUGCGUGGUGUAGCGGUGAAAUGCAUAGAUAUCACGAAGAACUCCGAUUGCGAAGGCAGCCUACUAAGCCGCAACUGACACUGAUGCACGAAAGCGUGGGGAUCAAACAGGAUUAGAUACCCUAGUAGUC